AACUGUGUUUUUUUUUUUUUCAGAGGUGGAAAAGUACAAGAAGAAUUCAGAUUCCCUCUAAUGGACACUCAAACUGAGAGGUGUGGAACCAUGUUUUGAGGAUUGCUCCAGUGGCCUAAAAGGCAAGAGGAGCUGAAACCUCUGGGACUCCUGCUCAUUCACAGCCUUUCCUUCUAGUGAACAUGCCUGUUGGACUGGAGGAAUGCAGAGACCAGGCAGAAGAAGCAACUUCAGAGGAACAGCUGAUGGUUUGGGCAAGGAGUCCCAGUGACUGGAUGUUAAAGGCAGUUUGCUUUGAAAUGGGAGGGACAAAUUCACAGCCAGGCCCAAGAAAGCUGCCUUUCACCUACAAAACGUGCCAAAAAGAUUUCCAAAGAGGCUAAAUAUUUUCACCCCUGUAAAUGAGGCUGACAGAGACCUAGCCAAGUGAAGUGAUUUGUGCUGGAAAGAAAACACACUCUUCCUGAUGUUUAUGCAGUUACCAUCACCUCCAGCUCGUUGUGAAUUGCAGCUCAGCUCCUAAGUGGAAUAAAGUGGAUGAAGCUCAGCA
RNAcentral lists this long non-coding RNA (550 nucleotides) under Parus major (Great Tit). RNAcentral describes it as "lncRNA (ENSPMJG00000014973.1)". The record is from RNAcentral. Lineage: Eukaryota; Metazoa; Chordata; Aves; Passeriformes; Paridae.